UCGCACCUACCGAUUGAAUGUUUCGGUGAAAAUUCCGGACCGUAGCAUUGUGCUCUUCAUUGAGCGCAAAGUUGUGGGAAGCUAUUUAAACCUCAACAUUUAGAGGAAGUAA
This 112-nucleotide ribosomal RNA is filed under the name uncultured eukaryote. Its description in RNAcentral is "partial small subunit ribosomal RNA". It matches the Rfam family "Eukaryotic small subunit ribosomal RNA", at positions 1676 to 1785 of the family's 1831-position model. The record is from RNAcentral.